UAAACCUGGAGUUUGUUUCUGUGAUAUUGC
RNAcentral lists this non-coding RNA (30 nucleotides) under Mus musculus (house mouse). The record is from RNAcentral. Lineage: Eukaryota; Metazoa; Chordata; Mammalia; Rodentia; Muridae.